GCGCCCGCUCAGCUGGAUAGGGCAUCAGACGACGAAUCUGAGGGGCGGGUGUUCGAAUCGUUCCGGGCGCGCCA
RNAcentral lists this transfer RNA (74 nucleotides) under Bradyrhizobium genosp. SA-3. Its description in RNAcentral is "tRNA-Arg". Lineage: Bacteria; Pseudomonadati; Pseudomonadota; Alphaproteobacteria; Hyphomicrobiales; Nitrobacteraceae. The record is from RNAcentral.